Molecule: ribosomal RNA, 205 nt
Filed under: uncultured bacterium
Lineage: Bacteria
Description: partial 16S ribosomal RNA
Rfam family: Bacterial small subunit ribosomal RNA
Source: RNAcentral
UGCGUAGGCGGGUUGCCAAGUCUGUGGUGAAAUCCUCCGGCUUAACCGGAGAACUGCCGUGGAUACUGGCGACCUCGAGGGGUGUAGGGGCUUGCGGAACUGUGCGUGGAGCGGUGAAAUGCGUUGAUAUGCACAGGAACUCCGGUGGCGAAAGCGGCGAGCUGGACACCUUCUGACGCUGAGGCACGAAAGCCAGGGAGCAACG